Molecule: ribosomal RNA, 449 nt
Filed under: uncultured Pelagibacterales bacterium
Lineage: Bacteria; Pseudomonadati; Pseudomonadota; Alphaproteobacteria; Candidatus Pelagibacterales
Description: bacterial SSU rRNA
Rfam family: Bacterial small subunit ribosomal RNA
Source: RNAcentral
GAGAUGUGGGUAGGUCCGCACGAGCGCACCCUCACUUUUAGUUGCCAUCAUUUAGUUGGGCACUCUGAAAGAACUGCCAGUGAUAAGCUGGAGGAAGGUGGGGAUGACGUCAAGUCCUCAUGGCCCUUACGUGUUGGGCUACACACGUGCUACAAUGGCAUCUACAACAGGAAGCAAAACGGCAACGUUAAGCAAAUCCCGAAAAGAUGCCUCAGUUCGGAUUGCACUCUGCAACUCGAGUGCAUGAAGCUGGAAUUACUAGUAAUCGUGGAUCAGCGUGCCACGGUGAAUGCGUUCCCGGGUCUUGUACACACCGCCCGUCACACCAUGGGAGUUGGUUCUACCUUAAGGCAAGGUUUNAAACCCUUGACCACGGUAUAGUCAGCGACUGGGGUGAAGUCGUAACAAGGUAGCCGUAGGGGAACCUGCGGCUGGAUUACCUCCUUUCU